UCCCAGCAGGUUCUGCCUGUGUUUCCUUUGCCCAGGGAUUCCUAGUGCAUGGACCUGGAACCUUUUGCUGGGGAUUUUAAAAAAUGCAGUGGAUUCCACCUUCAGUGCUCCCUGCUGUUCCAUUAGCGGCUGUUGACAUUCCCCUCCGACCAGUGUAAGGGAUCUAGGAGUAUGGCUGAUUAUUCUGUGGAUUUUUGGACGCUGGCAGCAGACUGCUAGAUAUUCAUCUGUGUGAAUGGCACCUGGAGAAGGCCUGCUGUUCACAGCCAUUACCUGCCUCCUGCUCUUCAUUGUCACCUCUCAUAAGAGCAAGAGUUUAGUCAUCCUCCAGAUCCCAAGCUAGUGCUUCCCCUCCUCCCAUCUCCUCAGAUGAGGAACCCAUGCAGUUGGGCUGAUCACCAACGCAGGAUGAGGGCGGGUGAGCGCCUGUACUUUGGUAUCACAGGACACUUCAUUGCUGCCUGCCCAGUUUGGCCAGAUGACAAUAGUAGAAGUAGGGAGUACUGGUGACCCAGACAGUUUCUUCUGCCUCCAUCUACACACAGAAUGCAGAUUCAAGCUACCCUUGUUGCAACCAGUUUACUUUGCCUUCCCUUGCUCUAGUUGAUUCAGAGGCAGUCCACAAAAGGCAAUCAGAGAGGUGACUAUUUUGAGUCCAUGUUUAUGUGCUGUUUGUUGUUGUUGUGAGCAAUCUAACUUGGAUUAGAUAAACUGACUCUUUCCCAAGGCAACAUUAAGAAAUUCAGCUGCGCACAGCUGUGGACUCUUGUGAGCUGGUGUUUUCUAAGCGUCUCAAAACUAUUUUCUUUUCAUUACUCCAAUCACUGAUUGUGUUCUUUCUCAUCUCCUGAUGAGAAAAUCUUGCAAGCUACACAAAAAAUGAAACCAACGCUUUUGUUGUGACGCAAUGUGGGGUAAAUGCUCUCAUCAAAAAAAUUCAUCAAAAAUUUUGCAUUGCUUCCCACAGAUGUCCUUGAGGCUUGAAUCUAGAGUAUAAUGCUUUUAGUUGGACAGUCUGAUAGCAUUUUGAGUUCAUCUAUCUUAACACUGCAAAUAUCAUCUUGAGAUGUCUGAGGUACCGCAUACCAUGAAUAUUUGCUGCUGUGACAAAACAUCAGUCUUCUUGGCUCGGACAACAGUUUCUGAUUGGGGUAGCUGCAACGGUGGAUUCCUCCCGGGGCUCAUCACUUUGCAAAGAGGUUGGAUCAUGGACAUUUAGCUGGCUGCUAGCUUAUAUUGUAAUGUUGAUGCUAGCAGAACUAAUGUUAGCAGACUUAAUGGCCAUGCUGCACUCAGCAGAAUCUUCACUGCUGAAAGAUAGUUUGCUUUCUAUUUUAGAAGGCCUGACAAAUGUUCAAUUGUUUUUUUUUGUUUGUUUGUUUGUUUUCCAGAUUUCUAGGCUAUUUAUUUGAUUACUAACAAAGAAGAUAUGCUAAAUCCAACAUUGCCAAUGUCACGAUUAAGUGCCAGAAAUUUUAAUCAUGCAAUGACCUAUAGCCAGUGAUUUUUAACACCAAUCACUGGCCUUCAAAUGUAUUCGAGUCACAAUGUUAGUUAAUAGAUUAUUGAAUGGAUAAUUGAUGAGUGGAUUAUUUUCAAGAUAGGAUGUUAUGAAAACAAACAAAAUCAUUUAAAAAAAAAAUGUAUGCACAGUUUGUACAGGAUAACAGUUCUCGGCGCCAAUGACACUUACACAGUGUUUUCAUCUGUAAUGUUCUUUAAUUGAAGUGAAUUUAAGAAACACAUUGUUCAAAACGUCUACCAGAAUAUCUGGUUUGACUGUUGUUGUGGUAGUGAACAACAGUCAGAGACUGGUGAGAAGGUGAGAAUUCUAAUGAGGCACUGACAAGUUUUUGAAUUUUAAGGCAAAACUGAAGAAUGGAAGUAAAUGACUCAGAAGCACAGGAUUUUUCAUUACAGUUUAAGCAAUCUGUCCUCAAUCCAGGCCCAAAAUAACUUGCCUUGAGGGAGUGGACAAUUUUAAUUACAUGCCCUGUACCUUUCCAUUCUCCACACAUUUAGUUCAAGUGCUCUCAGCUUGAAGUGGAAGUCCCAAAGUACAGCUGUGAACAGUGCUCACAUUUACAAGUAUGCAUAGGAAUAUGCAUGCAUGAAUAUGGAAGACUAUUUGUAUACGUUUGCAUUAUGUACUCUAUAUGCAUGUAUGAACACAAAUGUACAGUAUGUGUGCUUAAUUGUGUGUGGGGUGUAAAUUUUAACUUUGAUAUAGUUUUAUAAUUUGGCACUGUAUUAUUGUGAAUCAUUUGUAUUAUUCACACUAUAAUAGAGUGUAGAAAUACAGCAGAGGGGAAGACAAAGAAGACCUACUAUAAUGAAGAGUAGGCAAAAAAAAAAAAAGUGUAGACAGGCAGGUGAAAGAGAAAAGCUGGGAGGGAAGAGACUGGGUGCUAUUAAGAUGGAUUGUGAGGUCUGUAUUAUGCAGGUGUCUGGUCAUCCUUCAGUGAGCUAUUCCCCCAUAACAGGUGGCAGACUCACUUAUGGUGGGUCCAUGCAUGAUAACAGUUGCAAUACAUUUUAAUGAUCCUGGAUCCCUAGAUGGCUAAACACAUCUGACUUUGUAACCAGGCUGAAAAAGGUUGAAAGAGUUAAUGGGGAUUUAUGUAUGUGCCCUAAGGUGUUACAGUGUAACUUCAGAGCCUCCUCACGUAGCCAGCGUAGCUUUGGCUUAGGCUAAGCUCUAGCUGACGUGCACCACCUCCAAAAUAUAACUAUUAACACAGUGUUAACUUUGACGCAUAAGAGCUGGCAGUGUAAUGGGGUUGUGUGCCCGGGUUUUCUGCUUGAAAUGCAUCAUCUAUAGAUGAUGACCAUCCAAAUUUUUAUUUCACCGUUAACCCCUAGGAGGAGUCUGAGGUGCCACAGUGUCUCAUGAGGCCAAGUUUUAUCUCCAAAAAGCUCUUCCGGCCUUCAGCAACAGCACAGGGAUAGGUCCAAUCUAUCAACAAAGAAGCCAGGGCUUUGAUCUUAGUGGAUGGAAAAGCCUCUGUUUUCCAUCCUCAUUUUUGUUUUGCUAUACUGUAUAUUUUACUUCUCUGCUUUAAUGGUCCCCUUUUCUUGAUCAGUUAUCAACAAGGCAGUGGGCAAGGCUGGGAAGCAAUUGCAUUACACAAAUCAGCACAGUACUCAGAUUACAUUUCUUUUGUUUAGUGGAUAACUAUGUUCUGGGUCAUGCCUACAUAAGUACUAAAGAAUUAAGG
Molecule: long non-coding RNA, 3218 nt
Organism: Xiphias gladius (swordfish)
Lineage: Eukaryota; Metazoa; Chordata; Actinopteri; Istiophoriformes; Xiphiidae
Exons: 3
Source: RefSeq, a predicted model, not a curated record